Potamilus streckersoni is the source of this 78-nucleotide non-coding RNA. NCBI's taxonomy places the organism in Eukaryota, Metazoa, Mollusca, Bivalvia, Unionida, Unionidae. The record is from the annotation of a GenBank genome assembly.
GACCGCUAUGGUGGUCUAAGUGGUCAGAACGUCCGCCACAGAUGCGAGAGGUCGCGGGUUCGAACCCCUACCAAGUCA